Molecule: ribosomal RNA, 328 nt
Filed under: uncultured eukaryote
Lineage: Eukaryota
Description: partial 18S ribosomal RNA
Rfam family: Eukaryotic small subunit ribosomal RNA
Source: RNAcentral
CCCUUAGACGUUCUGGGCCGCACGCGCGCUACACUGUCGGAGCCAGCGAGUAUAAACCUUGGCCGAGAGGUCUGGGAAAUCUUGUGAAACUCCGUCGUGCUGGGGAUAGAGCAUUGUAAUUAUUGCUCUUCAACGAGGAAUUCCUAGUAAGCGCAAGUCAUCAGCUUGCGUUGAUUACGUCCCUGCCCUUUGUACACACCGCCCGUCGCUACUACCGAUUGAAUGGCUUAGUGAGGCUUCCGGAUUGGUUUAGAGAAGGGGGCAACUCCAUCUUGGAACCGAGAAGCUAGUCAAACUUGGUCAUUUAGAGGAAGUAAAAGUCGUAACA